UACCAGCUCUCCGAGUGGUGUGGAUGUUUAUUGGGCCUAAAGCAUCCGUAGCUGGCUGGGCAAGUCCCCUGUUAAAUCCACCGAUUUAAUCGUUGGAGUGCGGGGGAUACUGUUCGGCUAGGGGACGGGAGAGGCAGACGGUAUUUUCGGGGUAGGGGUGAAAUCCUAUAAUCCCGGGAAGACCACCAGUGGCGAAGGCCGUCUGCUAGAACGCGCCCGACGGUGAGGGAUGAAAGCUGGGGGAGCGAACCGGAUUAGAUACCCGGGUAGUCCCAGCUGUAAACGAUGCUGGCUAGGUGUUUGGGCGGCCACGUGCCGCUCUAGUGCCGCAGGGAAGCCGUUAAGCCUGCCGCCCGGGGAGUACGGCCGCAAGGCUGAAACUUAAAGGAAUUGGCGGGGAGCACCACAAGGGGUGAAGCUUGCGGUUU
Molecule: ribosomal RNA, 428 nt
Filed under: uncultured archaeon
Lineage: Archaea
Description: bacterial SSU rRNA
Rfam family: Archaeal small subunit ribosomal RNA
Source: RNAcentral